Molecule: ribosomal RNA, 471 nt
Filed under: Sphaerobacter thermophilus
Lineage: Bacteria; Pseudomonadati; Thermomicrobiota; Thermomicrobia; Sphaerobacterales; Sphaerobacteraceae
Description: bacterial SSU rRNA
Rfam family: Bacterial small subunit ribosomal RNA
Source: RNAcentral
GGGUCCUACGGGAGGCAGCAGCAAGGAAUUUUCCGCAAUGGGCGAAAGCCUGACGGAGCAACGCCGCGUGCGGGAUGACGCGUUUCGGCGUGUAAACCGCUGUUCAUGGGGACGAAGCACUGACGGUACCCAUGGAGGAAGGCCCGGCUAACUACGUGCCAGCAGCCGCGGUAAUACGUAGGGGUCGAGCGUUGUCCGGAGUUACUGGGCGUAAAGCGCGCGCAGGUGGCUCAUUACGCCCGGCGUGAAAGCCCCCGGCUCAACCGGGGAGGGUCGUCGGGUACGGGUGAGCUUGAGGGUAUCAGGGGCUGGUGGAAUUCCCGGUGUAGUGGUGAAAUGCGUAGAGAUCGGGAGGAACACCCGUGGCGAAGGCGGCCAGCUGGGAUACACCUGACACUGAGGCGCGAAGGCGUGGGGAGCGAACGGGAUUAGAUACCCCGGUAGUCCUCGCAGUAAACGAGCAGAACUCAA